CGGAAGUGAAUGUUAUGUGGUAAUUCGUGAGUGCGGUGUACGCCACACCAGCUGCCCCCACCGGAGCUACAUAGCUGCUUGUAGUUUGUGUGUGCCGAUACAGCUGCUCCUGCUAUGAGGUGCACCCACAGGUCUAAGUACUAGAGCUCCUCCUACUUCUACCCUCCCAUGGCGGACCUCAACGUGGCCUCCUUCAAUGCCAAGGGCCUGAAUAUCCCCUCCAAACGAGCCCAACACUUUCUCCAACAGAUUCUCCAACACUUCCACAAACGUAUGGACUGGUUCCACUGUAAUGUGUGCCAUACACGUCAGGAGACAACUUUUUACGUCACUAGCUGUGGACAUAUUCUUUGCAAGACAUGCAUCACAGAAGAUUAUUGCAGCGUAUGCAGAACUGCUUGCAAAUAUCUGCCUAUUUCAGAAAGUCUUAAGCCACAAGAGAAAAUAUAUUUCCAAUGUCUUAAAGAGACCGUACAGAAGGAUUUUAACAGUAUUUCUAAGGUAUGGAAUUUUCAAAAGCAACAACAUGAACAUCAUGUGACUUUCUACAAACAAUACAUUACUAAAGUUCAAAAUGCUUACACAGAGGCCCUACAGAAGAUUGAAAAUCAGGAAAAUGAAUUAAAAGCCAUAAAGAAAGAAAAUGCUGAGCUCAAAUCGAUAGUCACUAAUUUAAAGUUACCCCUCGACAAAGCUUACAGCAGUGUGGACAGAUUGCUAGCCAUUCAUCAUCUGCUGAGUCUCUACCAAGUGUUAGAUAUCACUCAGGAGCAGGCAGCGACUGACAUCUCGAGUUACCAAUCACAGACUCCUAAUGAAACAACUUCAGGGUUCGGGGUGAUGGAGACAUUGCUGGGCUGGAGAUUCGAGGAAUAUCACACAAAGUAGCAGCUUAUGCAGACGAUAUGACAUUUUACAUAGCGAAGCCACAGCACCUGCAAGAGAUUCUUUUACCACCCAAAGUAACAACAUAGACCGCCUAAGGGCUAUUCAGCUGAAAUUUACUCCUAAAUUGCUGGGAUCACUCAGCUUGAGAAGACAGUGAUACAUACAGUGGAUGCUUCUAAGUAUUUCUGUGACUAUGUGAACA
This is an RNA transcript of Hyla sarda, 1090 nucleotides long. It is a transcript of the gene named ring finger protein 212B, with no coding region annotated. The record is from RefSeq and is a predicted model, not a curated record. The transcript has 14 exons. NCBI's taxonomy places the organism in Eukaryota, Metazoa, Chordata, Amphibia, Anura, Hylidae.